This 464-nucleotide ribosomal RNA is filed under the name uncultured Geobacteraceae bacterium. RNAcentral's name for it is "partial 16S ribosomal RNA". It matches the Rfam family "Bacterial small subunit ribosomal RNA", at positions 338 to 794 of the family's 1533-position model. Lineage: Bacteria; Pseudomonadati; Thermodesulfobacteriota; Desulfuromonadia; Geobacterales; Geobacteraceae. The record is from RNAcentral.
CCUACGGGAGGCAGCAGUGGGGAAUUUUGCGCAAUGGGGGCAACCCUGACGCAGCAACGCCGCGUGAGUGAUGAAGGCCUUCGGGUCGUAAAGCUCUGUCAGAGGGGAAGAAAUGCAGGUGGUGAACAACCAUUCUGUUUGACGGUACCCUCAAAGGAAGCACCGGCUAACUCCGUGCCAGCAGCCGCGGUAAUACGGAGGGUGCGAGCGUUGUUCGGAAUUAUUGGGCGUAAAGCGCGUGUAGGCGGUUUGUUAAGUCGGAGGUAAAAGCCCCGGGCUCAACCUGGGAAGGGAAUUGGAUACUGGCAGACUUGAGUACGGGAGAGGAGAGUGGAAUCCCAAGUGUAGGAGUGAAAUCCGUAGAUAUUGGGAGGAACACCGGUGGCGAAGGCGGCUCUCUGGACAGAUACUGACGCUGAGACGCGAAAGCGUGGGGGGCAAACAGGUUUAGAUCCCCUGGUAGU